Molecule: unclassified non-coding RNA, 289 nt
Filed under: Hevea brasiliensis (rubber tree)
Lineage: Eukaryota; Viridiplantae; Streptophyta; Magnoliopsida; Malpighiales; Euphorbiaceae
Source: RNAcentral
GGAUUAAAAAAAAAUAGAAUGAACCCUACUAUGUAAUUAUAGAAAAUGAACUAAUAACCAACCUAUUGCUUCGUAUUGUCGAGAUCCUAACUAAGAAACAGUCACUAUAUGAAUAAAUACAUCUAUCAUAAAUGAGUAAAUCUAUCAUAUACGUGUAGCAACUGCAAUUUUUUCUUUAAAAAAAAAUAGGAUUCUAAGUUGUGAAGCAAAACUAAAGGGGAUGUAGAUAAAAGGAAGGAUGAUAGAAAGAAGGAAGAGAAAUAAGAAAGAUAUAGGAUUCCAAUAUGUA